RNAcentral lists this long non-coding RNA (290 nucleotides) under Elaeis guineensis (African oil palm). RNAcentral describes it as "long non-coding RNA (EGUI_LNC067850)". The record is from RNAcentral. Lineage: Eukaryota; Viridiplantae; Streptophyta; Magnoliopsida; Arecales; Arecaceae.
UCCAUAAACUCCCUCAACUCCUCUCUCUCCCUCUCCCUCUCAUGUGUGAGAGCAGGCACUCUCCCUCUCUCUCUCGUGUAAUCCUGCGGGCGAUCUCUCCCUCCUCUCUCUCUCUCCCUCUCUCUCUUUUACAUGCGAGCGAGCGGCUCCCUCAACUCCUCUCCAUUGGUUGAUUAGAAGGUAAGAUGUUUAUCCAGCUCAAAUGAUCUUUUAUUUUGUCAUUUUUGCUUGUUAUUCUUUUUAUUUCAUCCUUUUUUUGAAGAUAUAUGGGGAAGGAGAGCAGCUGAGGG